GAUGAACGCUGGCGGCGUGCCUAAUACAUGCAAGUCGAGCGAACAGACGAGGAGCUUGCUCCUCUGACGUUAGCGGCGGACGGGUGAGUAACACGUGGAUAACCUACCUAUAAGACUGGGAUAACUUCGGGAAACCGGAGCUAAUACCGGAUAAUAUAUUGAACCGCAUGGUUCAAUAGUGAAAGACGGUUUUGCUGUCACUUAUAGAUGGAUCCGCGCCGCAUUAGCUAGUUGGUAAGGUAACAGCUUACCAAGGCAACGAUGCGUAGCCGACCUGAGAGGGUGAUCGGCCACACUGGAACUGAGACACGGUCCAGACUCCUACGGGAGGCAGCAGUAGGGAAUCUUCCGCAAUGGGCGAAAGCCUGACGGAGCAACGCCGCGUGAGUGAUGAAGGUCUUCGGAUCGUAAAACUCUGUUAUUAGGGAAGAACAAAUGUGUAAGUAACUAUGCACGUCUUGACGGUACCUAAUCAGAAAGCCACGGCUAACUACGCG
This 497-nucleotide ribosomal RNA is filed under the name uncultured bacterium. RNAcentral describes it as "partial 16S ribosomal RNA". It matches the Rfam family "Bacterial small subunit ribosomal RNA", at positions 28 to 507 of the family's 1533-position model. The record is from RNAcentral.